CGUUCGCGGUGCUGGGUCGGCUCGCCGGGCUGCCGACCCGGGUGGUGGUCGGGUUCGCCGCCCCCGGUUCCGGUCCGGUGCGGGCCGCC
This 89-nucleotide transfer RNA is filed under the name Micromonospora andamanensis. Its description in RNAcentral is "tRNA-Gly". The record is from RNAcentral. Lineage: Bacteria; Bacillati; Actinomycetota; Actinomycetes; Micromonosporales; Micromonosporaceae.